AAGGGGAGGAUCCUGGGCUGUGUCCUCCGGCGCCCUGGGCUUCGGGGCCUGUGCCACUGGAAUCACGCUCCCGGGGCCACGCAGCCCCCU
This 90-nucleotide microRNA precursor is filed under the name Canis lupus familiaris (dog). RNAcentral describes it as "mir-8799 microRNA precursor family". It matches the Rfam family "mir-8799 microRNA precursor family". Lineage: Eukaryota; Metazoa; Chordata; Mammalia; Carnivora; Canidae. RNAcentral also lists the same sequence under 1 other name. The record is from Rfam by way of RNAcentral.